Cornus florida is the source of this 2711-nucleotide long non-coding RNA. RefSeq lists it as uncharacterized. Lineage: Eukaryota; Viridiplantae; Streptophyta; Magnoliopsida; Cornales; Cornaceae. The record is from RefSeq and is a predicted model, not a curated record. The transcript is spliced from 3 exons.
CAAUCGAUCGAAAUACAUUUGGAUCGAUCAAAGCUCAUCUAAAUCGAUCAAAAUACAUUUGGAUCGAUCGAAGAAAGUGUUCAAUCGAUCGAAAAUCCUUCGAUCGAUCGAAAUUGCGUCUUUUGAAUUUUCGAAAAAUGCUUUGGCCGUUCAAUUUCCACCCUAAGCCCUAAUUUUUAUUUUAUUUUCCUUUUCCCUUUUCUUUUUCUUUUUCUUUUUCUUUUCUUUCUUUCUUUCUCUCUCUUCCUCCAUCUCUCUCUCUCUUUAUUUUCUCCCUCUCUCGGCAAACUCUCUCUCUUUCCCCGAUUUCUCUAUCUCUCCCUUCCUCUCAAACUCAAUCUCUCUAUCUCCCACCGGUGAAACCACCACCACUCCAACCUCCUUCUUAUUUCUUCCAUCCGACAAACCCAAGGAAGCACAAACCUCGCCGCCAUUUUUUUCAUCAUUUUUGGCGAGAUUCUUGGCCAAGGGGCUGAGUUCUCCCAUCUUUUUCACUCAAUCUCUCUCGGGUAACCUUAUUUUCAUCAUCUUCGGCCGAUUUAGGCCAAGGAGAGUUUGUCUUUAGCUCCGGCAAGCUUCUGAAAUUUCCGGCGAGACUUCUGCGAGUCUCUGGUCAUGUUCUCUGGAACACCUCCGUUUUGAUCUGAAUCCUUCGUUUCAAUCUCCUCUUCUCUCUCUUGGAUCGGCGUAGAUAAAAGACUCUUGCUACACAGAGCUCCAUAACCUCCACCACCUCCUCCUUUAGAGGCAAAGUCUUCUUCUUCGUCUUCCUCUUCUGCAUCUACAGCAUCCCAUUCCGAGCCAUCUUCUAUGGAGGCCGAGCAUCCUAUUGUCAGAGAGGUACCAACUAUUUCCUACUCUAGUUGAAAACUAGAGCCAGAGUAUAGAUUCGACCGUGAUUUAUUUUCACACUUGGAUCAGACCAUGUGGUCCUAUGAUGAGCUUGUUCAGAGGGGCAUUGACGCCAUCAUAACACCGGUAGACACAGUCGUCUAUCCCCGGUUGGUUGCACUGUUCUACCAGUACCUCCGGAUGGAUACGGAUGACAGACUUCUGUUGCAUACCACCAUUAACGGUCAAGAGAUCGAUAUUUCACUCCUGACCAUAGUUGUCACCUGUCGAUGCCCCCAUUCAUCUCCACUACCUACUGAUUCUCAGGAUCCAUUAUAUCAUAGUGCACCACCUUUUCCCUCUGAGCUGACUAUGGUAGCUACUCUAUCUCCACAUGUUCCCUUUGAGGGCAACACCUUUGCAGACCGGGUUGACAUUGAUCCCCAGUAUUGGUUCAUGGAUUCGGUGUUGUACCUCAAUGCCUUUCCAUCAGGCCAUGGUACUCAGAGGAGAGAGGGGAUUUUUCAGGCUCUAUACUGUUUAAGCCAUGGUUAUUGGAUUUCUGUUCCUACACUUAUUUGGGAGCUCUUUCACAAGUUCUAGAAGAAUCUGCAUCAUACAUGCAAUUCUAGAGCUGCAGCUUAGCCUUUACCUUAUGGCCACUUGAUUACUCAGUUACUCAAUGACCAGGAUUAUCAAUUUGACCCGAAUAAGAUCCCAGAGACUGAUGCAGAGAGAGAUAAGAGAGUCUAUGACUAGGCCAGAUGGACAAAGACCUAUAAUUCUUGUGUUAAAAAUAGAAAGAACAGGGGUAUAAAAGGACAGAAUACGCAGCAGAGAGUGGCAGAUGAGGCAGCUAUAGAGGAUACAGCUGAUAGAUCUCCUCCUAGACAAAGGCGUCGCACUACCACUGUAGCCACUACCUCAUAGCCAGAUGUACCUACUACAUCUCAGCUGGAUGACCCCUCUCUUGUCCCUCCCACCGAGCCGAUAGCAUAGACCAACAUUCGAUCCCGAUAUGUCAGCACUGAUUCUAGCUACAAAUCCGACGUCCUUCAGCUGCACACAAACUUCAUUUCAUUCAGAGCUGAUAUGAUCGAGCAUCAUAAGGAUAUCAUGAGCCAGCAUGAUGACCUGGUGAGGAGACAUAAUGAUUUAUUGAGGCGGCACAAUGACUUGAGGGCAGAUGUAGCUGAGGUUUAUAAAGUUCAAACAGGCUAAAAAGAGCCAUUUAGCUCAAUUUUGGAGCUAAGGAGCAAAUCCAGAAAGAAGUCAGAAAAUUACACCAGAGGAACUUCGAUCAAUCGAAGGAAAUCCCGAUCGAUCGAAGCUGGCUAUAAUCAAUCAAAAUGAGGCGGUGCCAGCUCAGCAUUGUAGAUAAAGCCCGGAAGAUAUUUUUGAGGACACGUCAGCUUCGAUCGAUCGAAGAUAAGUGUUUGAUCGAUCGAACUGACUGCUGGCAGUGUGCUGUCUAAUUCCCGAGCAUGCAGGACUCUAUCUAACUUGAGUAGCUGCGAAUUUCCUCCAAUCAUAGGCUAUAUUUCUGACUUGGUGCCUACUCAAAGAGGCUUGUAAUAGAUAUAUUGAAUAAUUAUUGUAAAAAUAUCAUAGAGAGUUGUUCUUACCAAAUAUAGAAAUAGUUUAGCUCUCUAGAACUAGGGUUUUGGGAAGAAAGUAAGGAUGAAGAUGAUGAUCCCAACCUCCAAGCUAUCCCUUAAAGGUUCCACGACCAGUAUAAUGAGUGGCUAAAUCCUUCCCUUGGGGCUAGAGAUAGCCCUUAGGCUUGCUUCUUAAACCUAGCUUUUGUGUAUUUUGGCGGAUUUUAGUUGUAAUUGAUGUUUUGACCAUGAAUAAAUAUAGAUCUUGUGAUUUUUACAUAA